This is a non-coding RNA of Cinara cedri, 284 nucleotides long. Lineage: Eukaryota; Metazoa; Arthropoda; Insecta; Hemiptera; Aphididae. The record is from the annotation of a GenBank genome assembly.
ACAUCAAUGUUCCCACAAUCGAGUGUUUAUGAUAUCAAAAUGAAACCUUCACUAAAUUGUUUUUAUGACUUGGUGAGGUGACCUAUAUUUUGUUCGAAAAUAUGUUUCAUUAAAUACAAAUAGAGCGCUAUUGAAAAGACAAGCCCACAGCAUGACUAUGGAUAUACAGUGGGUCAAAAUAGUCUGUACACUGAUGUUAGAUUUUUUCCAUUACACAUAAUGAUAAUUAAAAAGUUGAAUAACUAUAUUUUUAACAAAAAUUUAUUAGGAAACACAUAAAAAUU